CCCCUCCCCCUCCUCCUCCUUCCCUCUGCCUUUUCCCUGUUCCUGCUGCUAUCAUCCCGUGAUCUUUACUAACAGUAGCGACUUACUACUUACUAAGAGGUGUAUGCUGGGCAACUCUUUCCUCAUCCUACACAAGAACCUGGACUGUUUUUGGCCCAUUCAACUGUAACACUUGCAAACAAUUCCAGUGGAAGGAAUUGUCCUAUUGGGGAUCUCACACCAAACUGGGGUGCUUGCCAGAUUCCUUUGGUGACCCCAGGGCUACCAGUGGACUCCAGCUUUUCACAUCCGGUCAUGUUCCUAAAGCAUCUGCACCUUCUGAUGAGCUUUAGGUCUUCAGAUAGCAUCACUUACAUUCAUGAGUUAAAACUUCCUUAUGGCAAUACGUCUCCACAGAUGCAUUUCCAUUGGCCUAAACAUUACUGGCACAUGGUACCAGUUUGACUAAAUUGUAUUUUUUCUAUUUUUGAUAUAGUGCCUUACCCAAGAUUUUAAAUGUUGUCUAAUGAGUUUUGCUGUAAGUAAAUCUUUUUUUUUUGUAAUUUGCUAUGCAUGAAGUCAUAUGCUGUAAUGUAAA
This 577-nucleotide long non-coding RNA is filed under the name Heterocephalus glaber (naked mole-rat). RNAcentral's name for it is "lncRNA (ENSHGLG00100041345.1)". The record is from RNAcentral. Lineage: Eukaryota; Metazoa; Chordata; Mammalia; Rodentia; Bathyergidae.